ACGAACGCUGGCGGCGUGCUUAACACCUGCAAGUCGAACGGAAAGGCCCUGCUUUUGUGGGGUGCUCGAGUGGCGAACGGGGGAGUAACACGUGAGUAACCUGCCCUUGACUUUGGGAUAACUUCAGGAAACUGGGGCUAAUACCGGAUAGGAGCUCCUGCUGCAUGGUGGGGGUUGGAAAGUUUCGGCGGUUGGGGAUGGACUCGCGGCUUAUCAGCUUGUUGGUGGGGUAGUGGCUUACCAAGGCUUUGACGGGUAGCCGGCCUGAGAGGGUGACCGGCCACAUUGGGACUGAGAUACGGCCCAGACUCCUACGGGAGGCAGCAGUGGGGAAUAUUGCACAAUGGGCGGAAGCCUGAUGCAGCAACGCCGCGUGCGGGAUGACGGCCUUCGGGUUGUAAACCGCUUUCGCCUGUGACGAAGCGUGAGUGACGGUAAUGGGUAAAGAAGCACCGGCUAACUACGUG
Molecule: ribosomal RNA, 467 nt
Filed under: uncultured bacterium
Lineage: Bacteria
Description: partial 16S ribosomal RNA
Rfam family: Bacterial small subunit ribosomal RNA
Source: RNAcentral